This 509-nucleotide long non-coding RNA is filed under the name Ursus americanus (American black bear). Its description in RNAcentral is "lncRNA (ENSUAMG00000027829.1)". The record is from RNAcentral. Lineage: Eukaryota; Metazoa; Chordata; Mammalia; Carnivora; Ursidae.
CCGGGACUGCGCCUGCGCGGGAAGUCGUGGCCCAGCGUGCAUGUUGGGUUCCCCUCACUGACAGGCACGGGAACAAGGUCGGAGGGCAGAGUCCACGGGAGCGACACGGAGGCCAGGACAGCUGCUGACGCCUGGUCUGGGUCAGUGGGGAGCCCUGGUGACUCGGCCCGGUCCGGUGCUCCCAUCCUCAUCCAACGCGCUCCUCACAGGGGUGACCCCCAGCGAGGUGCCUGCGCCUACGUUCCGGGCGGACCCUGCAGGUUUCCUAUCAGAUGUUCCACCGUAAUAAUGCUGGAGUUAAGAAGUCUCCAUUUCUUUGCUCCAAACCAGAAGACUUUGUUCCCUGCAUAUAGAGUAGGAGUAAUGUUGGUUAGAAACUGGCUGGUGUUUAAAACUGAAGAUUGUCAUGACUGUUUAACCUAAACCCUAUUCUGAAGUAAAAAUAAUUGUCUUGGAAAUACUAAGUUGGGUAAGUAUUUUUUAAUAAAGGUUUAUAUUGAGUGGUGACA